Non-coding RNA from Myotis lucifugus (little brown bat), 64 nucleotides. NCBI's taxonomy places the organism in Eukaryota, Metazoa, Chordata, Mammalia, Chiroptera, Vespertilionidae. The record is from Rfam.
UAGUGCUUACAGUUCUUUUUGAAUUUGUCCAGCAGGUCUUCUGGUUUUUACCUGAAGGACCUCA